RNAcentral lists this ribosomal RNA (286 nucleotides) under uncultured bacterium. Its description in RNAcentral is "partial 16S ribosomal RNA". It matches the Rfam family "Bacterial small subunit ribosomal RNA", at positions 90 to 354 of the family's 1533-position model. The record is from RNAcentral.
CCGGACCGGCACGACGGGUGAAGUAACCACGUACUACCCUAACCUCGGUCCCGUACUUACCUUCGUUACGGAACACGUCCUUCCGAAAAGGAAGAUUAAUACAAGAUGGCAUCAUGAGUCCGCAUGUUCACAUGAUUAAAGGUAUUCCGGUAGACGAUGGGGAUGCGUUCCAUUAGAUAGUAGGCGGGGUAACGGCCCACCUAGUCUUCGAUGGAUAGGGGUUCUGAGAGGAAGGUCCCCCACAUUGGAACUGAGACACGGUCCAAACUCCUACGGAAGGCAGCAG